This 468-nucleotide ribosomal RNA is filed under the name uncultured bacterium. RNAcentral describes it as "partial 16S ribosomal RNA". It matches the Rfam family "Bacterial small subunit ribosomal RNA", at positions 28 to 507 of the family's 1533-position model. The record is from RNAcentral.
GACGAACGCUGGCGGCGUGCUUAACACAUGCAAGUCGAACGGAAAGGCCCUGCUUUUGUGGGGUGCUCGAGUGGCGAACGGGUGAGUAACACGUGAGUAACCUGCCCUUGACUUUGGGAUAACUUCAGGAAACUGGGGCUAAUACCGGAUAGGAGCUCCUGCUGCAUGGUGGGGGUUGGAAAGUUUCGGCGGUUGGGGAUGGACUCGCGGCUUAUCAGCUUGUUGGUGGGGUAGUGGCUUACCAAGGCUUUGACGGGUAGCCGGCCUGAGAGGGUGACCGGCCACAAUGGGACUGCGAGACGGCCCAGACGCCUACGGGAGGCAGCAGUGGGGAAUAUUGCACAAUGGGCGGAAGCCUGAUGCAGCAACGCCGCGGGCGGGAUGACGGCCUUCGGGUUGUAAACCGCUUUCGCCUGUGACGAAGCGUGAGUGACGGUAAUGGGUAAAGAAGCACCGGCUAACUACGUG